UACGUAGGGUGCGAGCGUUAGUCGGAAUUACUGGGGUUAAAGGGUGCGUAGGUGGGUUGGUAAGUCAGUGGUGAAAUCUCCGAGCUUAACUUGGAAACUGCCAUUGAUACUAUCAGUCUUGAAUAUUGUGGAGGUUAGCGGAAUAUGUCAUGUAGCGGUGAAAUGCUUAGAUAUGACAUAGAACACCAAUUGCGAAUGCAGCUGGCUACACAUAUAUUGACACUGAGGCACGAAAGCGUGGGGAUCAAACAGG
Molecule: ribosomal RNA, 253 nt
Filed under: uncultured bacterium
Lineage: Bacteria
Description: partial 16S ribosomal RNA
Rfam family: Bacterial small subunit ribosomal RNA
Source: RNAcentral